This 253-nucleotide ribosomal RNA is filed under the name uncultured bacterium. RNAcentral's name for it is "partial 16S ribosomal RNA". It matches the Rfam family "Bacterial small subunit ribosomal RNA", at positions 524 to 776 of the family's 1533-position model. The record is from RNAcentral.
UACAGAGGGGGCAAGCGUUAUUCGGAAUUAUUGGGCGUAAAGGGCGCGUAGGCGGCCUGGCAAGUGGAAGGUGAAAUCCCUCGGCUUAACCGAGGAACUGCCUUCCAAACUGCUUGGCUUGAGUCCGGGAGAGGUGAGUGGAAUUCCCAGUGUAGCGGUGAAAUGCGUAGAUAUUGGGAGGAACACCAGUGGCGAAGGCGGCUCACUGGACCGGAACUGACGCUGAUGCGCGAAAGCUAGGGUAGCAAACAGG